GACGAACGCUGGCGGCGUGCCUAAUACAUGCAAGUAGAACGCUGAAGGAGGAGCUUGCUUCUCUGGAUGAGUUGCGAACGGGUGAGUAACGCGUAGGUAACCUGCCUGGUAGCGGGGGAUAACUAUUGGAAACGAUAGCUAAUACCGCAUAAGAGUAGAUGUUGCAUGACAUUUGCUUAAAAGGUGCAAUUGCUUCACUACCAGAUGGACCUGCGUUGUAUUAGCUAGUUGGUGAGGUAACGGCUCACCAAGGCGACGAUACAUAGCCGACCUGAGAGGGUGAUCGGCCACACUGGGACUGAGACACGGCCCAGACUCCUACGGGAGGCAGCAGUAGGGAAUCUUCGGCAAUGGACGGAAGUCUGACCGAGCAACGCCGCGUGAGUGAAGAAGGUUUUCGGAUCGUAAAGCUCUGUUGUAAGAGAAGAACGAGUGUGAGAGUGGAAAGUUCACACUGUGACGGUAUCUUACCAGAAAGGGACGGCUAACUACGUG
RNAcentral lists this ribosomal RNA (495 nucleotides) under uncultured bacterium. Its description in RNAcentral is "partial 16S ribosomal RNA". It matches the Rfam family "Bacterial small subunit ribosomal RNA", at positions 28 to 507 of the family's 1533-position model. The record is from RNAcentral.